Molecule: transfer RNA, 62 nt
Filed under: Ixodes ovatus
Lineage: Eukaryota; Metazoa; Arthropoda; Arachnida; Ixodida; Ixodidae
Description: tRNA-Thr
Source: RNAcentral
GUUAUAAUAAUUUAAAUAAAAAUAUUGGUUUUGUAAACCAAAAUUGAAUUAAUCUUAUAACU